AUUGAACGCUGGCGGCAGGCUUAACACAUGCAAGUCGAGCGGUAGCACAGGGGAGUUUGCUCCCUGGGUGACGAGCGGCGGACGGGUGAGUCAUGUCUGGGAAACUGCUUGAUGGAGGGGGAUAACUACAGAAAACGGUAGCUAAUACCGCAUAACGUCGCAAGCCCAAAGAGGGGGACCUUCGGGCCUCUUGCCAGCAGAUGUGCCCAGAUGGGAUUAGCUAGUAGGUGGGGUAAUGGCUCACCUAGGCGACCAUCCCUAGCUGGUCUGAGAGGAUGAACAGCCACACUGGAACUGAGACACGGUCCAGACUCCUACGGGAGGCAGCAGUGGGGAAUAUUGCGCAAUGGGCGCAAGCCUGAUGCAGCCAGGCCGCGUGUGUGAAGAAGGCCUUCGGAUUGUAAAGCACUUUCAGCGAGGAGGAAGGUGGUGAGCUUAAUACGUUCAUCAAUUGACGUUACUCGCAGAAGAAGCACCGGCUAACUCCGUG
RNAcentral lists this ribosomal RNA (490 nucleotides) under uncultured bacterium. RNAcentral's name for it is "partial 16S ribosomal RNA". It matches the Rfam family "Bacterial small subunit ribosomal RNA", at positions 30 to 507 of the family's 1533-position model. The record is from RNAcentral.